AGUGAACGCUGGCGGUAGGCCUAACACAUGCAAGUCGAACGGCAGCACAGUAAGAGCUUGCUCUUACGGGUGGCGAGUGGCGGACGGGUGAGGAAUACAUCGGAAUCUACUUUUUCGUGGGGGAUAACGUAGGGAAACUUACGCUAAUACCGCAUACGACCUACGGGUGAAAGCAGGGGAUCUUCGGACCUUGCGCGAUUGAAUGAGCCGAUGUCGGAUUAGCUAGUUGGCGGGGUAAAGGCCCACCAAGGCGACGAUCCGUAGCUGGUCUGAGAGGAUGAUCAGCCACACUGGAACUGAGACACGGUCCAGACUCCUACGGGAGGGAGCAGUGGGGAAUAUUGGACAAAGGGCGCAAGCCUGAUCCAGCCAUACCGCGUGGGUGAAGAAGGCCUUCGGGUUGUAAAGCCCUUUUGUUGGGAAAGAAAAGCAGCAGGUUAAUACCCCGCUGUUCUGACGGUACCCAAAGAAUAAGCACCGGCUAACUUCGUG
Molecule: ribosomal RNA, 492 nt
Filed under: uncultured bacterium
Lineage: Bacteria
Description: partial 16S ribosomal RNA
Rfam family: Bacterial small subunit ribosomal RNA
Source: RNAcentral